GAUGAACGCUGGCGGCGUGCCUAAUACAUGCAAGUCGAGCGAACAGAUGAGGAGCUUGCUCCUCUGACGUUAGCGGCGGACGGGUGAGUAACACGUGGAUAACCUACCUAUAAGACUGGGAUAACUUCGGGAAACCGGAGCUAAUACCGGAUAAUAUAUUGAACCGCAUGGUUCAAUAGUGAAAGACGGUUUUGCUGUCACUUAUAGAUGGAUCCGCGCCGCAUUAGCUAGUUGGUAAGGUAACGGCUUACCAAGGCAACGAUGCGUAGCCGACCUGAGAGGGUGAUCGGCCACACUGGAACUGAGACACGGUCCAGACUCCUACGGGAGGCAGCAGUAGGGAAUCUUCCGCAAUGGGCGAAAGCCUGACGGAGCAACGCCGCGUGAGUGAUGAAGGUCUUCGGAUCGUAAAACUCUGUUAUUAGGGAAGAACAAAUGUGUAAGUAACUAUGCACGUCUUGACGGUACCAAUCAGAAAGCCACGGCUAACUACGUG
RNAcentral lists this ribosomal RNA (496 nucleotides) under uncultured bacterium. RNAcentral describes it as "partial 16S ribosomal RNA". It matches the Rfam family "Bacterial small subunit ribosomal RNA", at positions 28 to 507 of the family's 1533-position model. The record is from RNAcentral.